RNAcentral lists this ribosomal RNA (487 nucleotides) under uncultured bacterium. RNAcentral's name for it is "bacterial SSU rRNA". It matches the Rfam family "Bacterial small subunit ribosomal RNA", at positions 8 to 507 of the family's 1533-position model. The record is from RNAcentral.
AGAGUUUGAUCAGUGGCUCGAGGACGACGCUGGCGGCGUGCUUAACACAUGCAAGUCGAACGGAAAGGCCCAGCUUGCUGGGUACUCGAGUGGCGAACGGGUGAGUAACACGUGGGUGAUCUGCCCCAAACUUCGGGAUAAGCCUGGGAAACUGGGUCUAAUACCGGAUAUGACCUGCUCCUGCAUGGGGGUUGGUGGAAAGCUUUUGCGGUUUGGGAUGGGCCCGCGGCCUAUCAGCUUGUUGGUGGGGUAAUGGCCUACCAAGGCGACGACGGGUAGCCGACCUGAGAGGGUGAUCGGCCACACUGGGACUGAGACACGGCCCAGACUCCUACGGGAGGCAGCAGUGGGGAAUAUUGCACAAUGGGCGCAAGCCUGAUGCAGCGACGCCGCGUGAGGGAUGACGGCCUUCGGGUUGUAAACCUCUUUCGCCAGGGACGAAGCGCAAGUGACGGUACCUGGAGAAGAAGCACCGGCCAACUACGUG